Molecule: ribosomal RNA, 427 nt
Filed under: uncultured bacterium
Lineage: Bacteria
Description: bacterial SSU rRNA
Rfam family: Bacterial small subunit ribosomal RNA
Source: RNAcentral
UGGGGAAUUUUGGACAAUGGGCGCAAGCCUGAUCCAGCAAUGCCGCGUGCAGGAUGAAGGCCUUCGGGUUGUAAACUGCUUUUGUACGGAGCGAAAAGGUCUGCCCUAAUACGGUGGGCUCAUGACGGUACCGUAAGAAUAAGCACCGGCUAACUACGUGCCAGCAGCCGCGGUAAUACGUAGGGUGCGAGCGUUAAUCGGAAUUACUGGGCGUAAAGCGUGCGCAGGCGGUUAUAUAAGACAGGUGUGAAAUCCCCGGGCUCAACCUGGGACCUGCAUUUGUGACUGUAUAGCUAGAGUACGGUAGAGGGGGAUGGAAUUCCGCGUGUAGCAGUGAAAUGCGUAGAUAUGCGGAGGAACACCGAUGGCGAAGGCAAUCCCCUGGACCUGUACUGACGCUCAUGCACGAAAGCGUGGGGAACAAACA